RNAcentral lists this ribosomal RNA (266 nucleotides) under uncultured bacterium. RNAcentral's name for it is "partial 16S ribosomal RNA". It matches the Rfam family "Bacterial small subunit ribosomal RNA", at positions 793 to 1055 of the family's 1533-position model. The record is from RNAcentral.
GUCCAUGCUGUAAACGAUGGGUGCUAGGUGUCGCGGGCAUUGACCCCUGCGGUGCCGUAGCAAACGCAUUAAGCACCCCGCCUGGGGAGUACGGCCGCAAGGCUAAAACUCAAAGGAAUUGACGGGGGCCCGCACAAGCGGUGGAGCAUGUGGUUUAAUUCGAUGCAACGCGAAGAACCUUACCUGGGCUAGAAAACGUGAGAAACUGGUAGAAACAUCGGCGUGCCCUUCGGGGAACUCACGGUUAGGUGCUGCAUGGCUGUCGU